Molecule: ribosomal RNA, 497 nt
Filed under: uncultured bacterium
Lineage: Bacteria
Description: partial 16S ribosomal RNA
Rfam family: Bacterial small subunit ribosomal RNA
Source: RNAcentral
GACGAACGCUGGCGGCGUGCCUAAUACAUGCAAGUUGAGCGCUGAAGGUUGGUACUUGUACCAACUGGAUGAGCAGCGAACGGGUGAGUAACGCGUGGGGAAUCUGCCUUUGAGCGGGGGACAACAUUUGGAAACGAAUGCUAAUACCGCAUAAAAACUUUAAACAAAAGUUUUAAGUUUGAAAGAUGCAAUUGCAUCACUCAAAGAUGAUCCCGCGUUGUAUUAGCUAGUUGGUGAGGUAAAGGCUCACCAAGGCGAUGAUACAUAGCCGACCUGAGAGGGUGAUCGGCCACAUUGGGACUGGAACACGGCCCAAACUCCUACGGGAGGCAGCAGUAGGGAAUCUUCGGCGAUGGACGAAAGUCUGACCGAGCAACGCCGCGUGAGUGAAGGAGGUUUUCGGAUCGUAAAACUCUGUUGGUAGAGAAGAACGUUGGUGAGAGUGGAAAGCUCAUCAAGUGACGGUAACUACCCAGAAAGGGACGGCUAACUACGUG